GGCGUGGAGCAUGUAUGCAGACUGAAGGAAGUUGCAGCCACAAAGUGCCGUUUUGCAGCCUUGGAGCAUAGGAGGUUGUUUUCCGAUGCAUGCUUGGAAGGUGGUCUUCUUCUUUGACUCCUGUGGGUUUUUGGUGAUGGAUAGAGGACGAGCUUGCCGAGCCUUCUUAUUUGGCCGGUCUGUGGUAUCUGGCUGGUGCGCGAUGCUAGAGGAGAUGUGCAGGGAGCAGUAGUCGUCGGACUGCUGUGGGUGGCGCUUGCGGAGGGGAGGGGUGGAUGCGCUGCCACCCGCCACCGCCUGAUGCAGCAACGGAGAGAAGUGUCUUGGAGGGAGUCGUGGCGGCUGGCCUGACUUCCUCUUUCUCUUUUUUAUUUUCUUGAACUGAAGUAGUGAUGUGGUGUCCUGGAAGGUUGAUGUUGUUUGCUUUUUUUCGAUAAAGGGAAUAUAUUAAUAUCAAAAGAUACCAAUUGCACCCAGGCUCUGCAACAAAUGUGAUACCAAUUUUUUGUUGUGGUGUAAUUGUCCACAAAACAACAGAAUCUUUGCCAAAAAUUUGAUCACGGGU
Lolium perenne is the source of this 565-nucleotide long non-coding RNA. RefSeq lists it as uncharacterized. The record is from RefSeq and is a predicted model, not a curated record. Lineage: Eukaryota; Viridiplantae; Streptophyta; Magnoliopsida; Poales; Poaceae.